UGGACAGACCACUGACGCUGAGGCGCGAAAGCCCAGGGGAGCCGAACGGGAUUAGAUACCCCCGGUAGUCCCUGGCUGUAAACGAUGAACACUUGGUGUGGGGGGUUAGGAAAGUCCCCUUCUGUGCCGGAGAGAACUCCGAUAAGUGUUCCCGCCUGGGGAGUACGGCCGCAAGGCUGAAACUCCAAAGGAAUUGACGGGGGCCCGCACAAGCGGUGGAGCAUGUGGUUUAAUUCGACGCAACGCGAAGAACCUUACCGGGGUUUGAACUUGGCCGGCGACCUGUAGAGAUACGGGGUUCCUUUCGGGGACUGGUCAAGAGGUGCUGCAUGGCUGUCGUCAGCUCGUGUCGUGAGAUGUUGGGUUAAGUCCCCGCAACGAGCGCAACCCUUGUUUGUAGUUGCCAUCCAGGUGAAGCUGGGCACUCUACGGAGACUGUCGGCGAAAAGCCGGAGGAAGGUGGGGAUGACGUCAAGUCCUCAUGGCCUUUAUGUCCCGGGCUA
Molecule: ribosomal RNA, 503 nt
Filed under: uncultured bacterium
Lineage: Bacteria
Description: bacterial SSU rRNA
Rfam family: Bacterial small subunit ribosomal RNA
Source: RNAcentral